Long non-coding RNA from Grus americana (Whooping crane), 359 nucleotides. RefSeq lists it as uncharacterized. Lineage: Eukaryota; Metazoa; Chordata; Aves; Gruiformes; Gruidae. The transcript has 3 exons. The record is from RefSeq and is a predicted model, not a curated record.
AGUUCUAGGGAAGAUAACAGGGGUUUGUAUCUAGUUUAAGAUAAAAAUGAAGACAGGAUUGACUCACUCAAGAAACAGAACACACUGAGGAUGCGGCCAUCAUUAAAUUGGCUAUGAUGUAGCUGACAGGAUGGGAACUUUCACCUGAACCACCCGAAACCUUUCGGUCUGCCCCUCACAGGGUAAAAAGAACAUUGUGUCAAGGUCCAAGAGUCCGUUGAAUUCUGCAGACCUCCUGAAGCUGGAGCCCGUGUGUGACUCCAUUACUCACACGUGCCCCACAGCAGGUUCCCAAGGAGACGUUGUCUGUCUUCGGUUAACUGCUCCAUCUGGGCCAUGAGUCGCCCCAGAGGCGGACA